CCAUUUUUUCAAUAUUAAACGCAUCAAAGAACAAGCUUUGGGACUUAUUCUUUUAUAUUUCAGUAGCCUAUUUCUCAAAUUCUUCAAACAACUUUCCCAGCCCAUUCCUUGACUCAAUUCAGAUUCUUCGACAAAAUAAGAGACAAAUUACAAAAUCAACCCAGAAACGAAGCAAAAUCCAGAUAGAAAAAUCGUGACCCGACCCCUGCGCCAUCAUCUUCUUCUCCGCAUGAAUCCAGACUCGAAAAAUCCAGAAACGUGAUUUUUGCCAGAAUCUAGUCCAGCGCGUCGUUCUCUCCUCUCUCCUCAUCAUCUCUGUACAUCAUAUUGUCGGUUAGUCUAGGUGGAGCAAUCACACGCGAGAAUCGUCCUUGCUUUAUGAAUCAGACAACUCCCUUCUUUUUUCCGUUGACAAUUCAUACAUAAAUUCAAGCUGGCAGCCUGGUCCCCAGAUUAUAUUGUAUUUCGAAUUUGAUUUUGUCCCUUUUCCCCCUAAAAAAAGUCAACCCUAAUUUCCUGCUUUAUAAGCUCCUUUUUUUCUUCAUGAUUUGGGAGUUGGGAAAAUUCCAAACUAAGUUGUUUAUUCAUAUAGGAAUAGAGAGGAGUCAUUUAUAUAGAAAUAUAGUUACAGUAAAGAUAACAUUCAAAUAUUAGAGGAGGACACCUAUUCGAUCAGAACUUCGUUUGCUUAGCAUAUUUCUGUCAAUUUUCUUUCGAAGUGCACGAUGGUGGUGAAGUUGCUGCUUCGCUCGUCUCGUCCUAGUCGCUGCUCAAAAAAGGUAAUACAUCUUCCUUUGUUUUGCAUAUCAUUUCGAUUUUUAGUAAUAUGGUGAUGAAUCUGCCUCUGUUGGAUUUAUCAUGCCUUUGUUAUUGCUCGAUUGGAAUGUUGUUAUUCAUGGCUCAUUGUCUUUACUACUGAUAUUUGUGGCUGAUUACUGUCAGGUUACUGUGCAAUUCAUUUGAAGCCUUAAAAAGACCUUUUUGAACAUGAGAAAGCUAAAAAAAAUGUUAAUAGGAAAAUAAGGAAAAAUAUAUGUGUGAAACCAUGCAUUGUGUUGUUCUUUGUGAGUCUGAUUGUUGUAUCUCAUUCAAAAAUCGUAAAUGAUUAUAUAUAAUGUGUGUGAGAAUGGAAUCAUCAUUUGUGUGAAGGAAUUUGAAUGUAUUUAUUUAUCUUGAACUUGCAUCUGAAAUAAGUAUUGCGAGCUUGAGAAUGCUUGGUAAUGGAUUGUCAUAACUUGAAUAUUUGGGUACAUAAUUCAUCCUUUCAUAGAUAAAUCGAGUUUUGUUGUGUACAUUUAUUAAUGAAUCUUGUGUAACAUUGUUUGAGACACUUUUUUUUUGAAAUGCUGAACUUGAGUUUUACUUGAGGACAAACAAAAUUUUAAUUUAGUGGUGUUGAUGAGUCUACAGAUUGGACUCAUUUAGGACUAUAUUUUGAUAGAAAUAGUGUCCCUAAAUACCGGUUUUGUCUCAAUUACUGAUGAAUAACCUUGAGUUUCAAGUAUUUUGAGUUUGAGGCGGACACUACUUGGAAAAAAAGAGCAAAAAGGAUGAAAAUAAUGAAGAAAUGAAGGACUGAGGAUCGCCGAGUCCAUUUGGGGAAUAGUUGAAAGGUCUAAAGAUCGCCUUUUAUUCUAGUGUGUUGAGCAAUGCAGGAAAGGAUCAAUUGAUGGUGAAAAAAAGCAGUCUGUGCAUUACUGAAUAGUUCUGUGAAGUAGUUCUUAUCAUAUAGUAAUCCAGAACGUGAGGAUGCUUUGAAUAAGUGCAAGACAGUGAUGAAGUUGUGCAAGGGUAAAUCCCGACUUGAUCGGUGAUUCUAACUAAUUGCGCUGAGUUAUCCGCUGCAGCACUAAUCUUUGAAAAAUAUAAAUACUAUUUAGUGUUUUAUCUUAGUAUCGAUAUUUAAUAGACUUAUAUCAAUAUUUUUCAAUUUUUGAGCUCUAAGUUUGAGAUGGUUGUUGGAGAAUAACAUGAAGAUCAAAAGGGUUUCAUCUCCAAGGAUUUGGUCUUGAGUCUCUUUGCUUCUUCAUUCUUGACCUGUAACAAGACUUAAAUCUUCGUAACCAUUUGAAUUCAAGAUCAUUUUGGUAUAAAUUUUUGUCACUUGUUCAUGUCUAGAUAAAACCCCAAUUCUUGGGGUGUAAUUUUGUUAAUAUGGGUUAAAUUAGAUGUUGGGAAUUCCUUGUUGAUAGUUUAUUUGUAGUUUUAUUGUUAUUUGAUUUAGUAACUGUGGAUGAAUAUAAUGAUUCUGUAGUUGUAAAUAUAAUCUCACAUAUGUGUUUCGGCGUGCUUGACUGAGAGGUCGAGAAAGUAGGACUACUAAAUUGAUGGCCGGUGGGAGUGGGUCGUCAUGAGGUUCAACUAGAGAAAGUGAACCCUAUUCUCACACCAAACACUCAGCUCGAGAGAGUGAGUGGGUUAAGACGAAGGUUGUUCUUAAUGCGGCAAGUGGGUGUCCAAGAGGAACCCAUUUGAGAUGGGUUCAAUGUCUUCUUAGGGAAAUUGAAAUAUGCUGAAAACUUGGAAAGAAGAAAAAUAAUUAACAAGAAGUGACUUGCAUGAAAUCAUUGCUGACAAAUAGAAUAUGAUUCAAUGGGGAAAUAUAUUUGGAAGAUGAAAUCAUCCAUCAAAUUAUUACACAUACUGACCUCAAUCCAAUGAAGUUUUUGACAGAAAAAACAAGACAUUGAAGGAAAUGUUGAAUUUCGUAGUUAUAAGGUCAGGUUUGCCAAAAAAUUUGUGGGUGUGCUAUCAUUAUAGAAAUAGAAAACAAAAAGUUUGUAUGUUCAGAAAGAGGGGAACAAAAUUUUAUUUAUUGGUAAAGGGAGAAAAAAGUUUAAAAAACAUUUGUUUUUUAAGAAAGGAAGAAACAAAAUAUUUUGUUUGUUCAGGUUUUGUUGUAUCCCUAUAGAGAACUGUUUAUUGCCCCUUCAAGUAUAUACAAGCAAUGACUCUUGAAACAUAGUGAUCUAACAAUUUUCAAUACAAUAUAUUUUAUAUGAGAAA
Molecule: non-coding RNA, 3006 nt
Organism: Solanum lycopersicum (tomato)
Lineage: Eukaryota; Viridiplantae; Streptophyta; Magnoliopsida; Solanales; Solanaceae
Source: RefSeq, a predicted model, not a curated record